Molecule: long non-coding RNA, 382 nt
Organism: Megachile rotundata (alfalfa leafcutting bee)
Lineage: Eukaryota; Metazoa; Arthropoda; Insecta; Hymenoptera; Megachilidae
Source: RefSeq, a predicted model, not a curated record
CGGCAGCACUGUAGGCAGGGAGAGCCUCUCCCGGAGAGGGUAUAAUAUAACCCACACUUGGUCGCAGCAAGAUGUCUCACAAGAAAUUCAAUAUACCUCGCCAUGGGUCUGUGGAAUUUAAUCCCAAUAUGGGAUGCCGAAGACAUUGUGGCUUUCCUAAAAGAUGAUUCAAAUUAAUUCAUCAAAUGUCUCUCAUUGGUUACAAAAUUGAUUGACUUAUGUGGUCAGGGAACCUACUCAUCCAGAAUGAAGUAUUGCAUUAUGUUGGUGCAUGAAAAAAUUGAAACAAGGGUUUAUGAAAAGACUCUUAAGAUAAGGUUAAAAGGAACGACGCAUCGACGGAGUACGAUUUAAGAUUUCAUUGUGACCAAAGUAUAUGAGA